GGGGGGUAGGCGGAACGGUAAGUACCUUGUGAAAGCCCCGGGCUCAACCCGGGAAUUGCUGGGUAUACUAUCGUUCUUGAGGCAGGUAGGGGCCACUGGAACCUUAGGUGGAGCGGUGAAAUGCGUAGAUAUCUAAGGGAACGCCUGUGGCGAAAGCGGGUGACUGGGCCUGUACUGACGCUGAGACCCGAAAGCGUAGGGAGCGAACG
RNAcentral lists this ribosomal RNA (209 nucleotides) under uncultured bacterium. RNAcentral describes it as "partial 16S ribosomal RNA". It matches the Rfam family "Bacterial small subunit ribosomal RNA", at positions 566 to 774 of the family's 1533-position model. The record is from RNAcentral.